This 477-nucleotide ribosomal RNA is filed under the name uncultured organism. RNAcentral describes it as "partial 16S ribosomal RNA". It matches the Rfam family "Bacterial small subunit ribosomal RNA", at positions 329 to 797 of the family's 1533-position model. The record is from RNAcentral.
ACGUACACUCCUGCGGGAGGCAGCAGUGGGGAAUUUUGGACAAUGGGGGCAACCCUGAUCCAGCAAUGCCGCGUGAGUGAAGAAGGCCUUCGGGUUGUAAAGCUCUUUUGUCAGGGAAGAAACGGUGGUGGCGAAUAACUACUACUAAUGACGGUACCUGAAGAAUAAGCACCGGCUAACUACGUGCCAGCAGCCGCGGUAAUACGUAGGGUGCAAGCGUUAAUCGGAAUUACUGGGCGUAAAGCGUGCGCAGGCGGUUGUGUAAGUCAGAUGUGAAAUCCCCGGGCUCAACCUGGGAAUUGCAGUUGAGGCUGCACGGGUAGAGUGUGUCAGAGGGGGGUAGAAUUCCACGUGUAGCAGUGAAAUGCGUAGAUAUGUGGAGGAAUACCGAUGGCGAAGGCAGCCCCCUGGGAUAACACUGACGCUCAUGCACGAAAGCGUGGGGAGCAAACAGGAUUAGAUACCCUGGUAGUCCCA